Molecule: non-coding RNA, 158 nt
Filed under: Acidocella sp.
Lineage: Bacteria; Pseudomonadati; Pseudomonadota; Alphaproteobacteria; Acetobacterales; Acidocellaceae
Also listed under: 1 other name
Description: 6S RNA
Rfam family: 6S / SsrS RNA
About the family: E. coli 6S RNA was the first non coding RNA to be sequenced, but its function was unknown until recently. It consists of 184 nucleotides that fold into an extended hairpin structure with a large single-stranded internal bulge.
Source: RNAcentral
UUGGAGCUGCCCGGUUCGUCAGGCAAAUCAUCCCCAGGGCCGUUAAGCAUCUCCCUCGGGAACUGGCUCUGUCCGGAUCUUGGUCCGGGUAUCUGGUGCCCACCUGCACAAGCAGGCCUUGGGAGGAUGUACACGCCAACGGCCAGGGCGGCUCCACU